AGAGUUUGAUCCUGGCUCAGGAUGAACGCUGGCGGCGUGCUUAACACAUGCAAGUCGAACGGAAAUCAAAUGAUCGAGACUUCGGUUGAAGUUGUUGGAUUUUAGUGGCGGACGGGUGAGUAACGCGUGGGUAACCUGCCCUGUACAGGGGGAUAACACUUAGAAAUAGGUGCUAAAACCGCAUAAGCGCACAGUCUCGCAUGAGACAGUGUGAAAAACUCCGGUGGUACAGGAUGGACCCGCGUUGGAUUAGCUGGUUGGUGAGGUAACGGCCCACCAAGGCGACGAUCCAUAGCCGGCCUGAGAGGGUGAACGGCCACAUUGGGACUGAGACACGGCCCAAACUCCUACGGGAGGCAGCAGUGGGGAAUAUUGCACAAUGGGGGAAACCCUGAUGCAGCGACGCCGCGUGAAGGAAGAAGUAUCUCGGUAUGUAAACUUCUAUCAGCAGGGAAGAAAGUGACGGUACCUGACUAAGAAGCCCCGGCUAACUACGUGCCAGCAGCCGCGGUAAUACGUAGGGGGCAAGCGUUAUCCGGAUUUACUGGGUGUAAAGGGAGCGUAGACGGAGAGGCAAGUCUGAUGUGAAAGGCUGGGGCUCAACCCCGGGACUGCAUUGGGAACUGUUUUUCUUGAGUGCCGGAGGGGUAAGCGGAAUUCCUAGUGUAGCGGUGAAAUGCGUAGAUAUUAGGAGGAACACCAGUGGCGAAGGCGGCUUACUGGACGGCAACUGACGUUGAGGCUCGAAAGCGUGGGGAGCAAACAGGAUUAGAUACCCUGGUAGUCCACGCGGUAAACGAUGAAUACUAGGUGUCGGGUGGCGAAGCCAUUCGGUGCCGUCGCAAACGCAAUAAGUAUUCCACCUGGGGAGUACGUUCGCAAGAAUGAAACUCAAAGGAAUUGACGGGGACCCGCACAAGCGGUGGAGCAUGUGGUUUAAUUCGAUGAUACGCGAGGAACCUUACCAGGGCUUGACAUGAGGAGGAAUGUGCGUGAAAGCGUGCAGCUCUUCGGAGUCUCCCCACAGGUGCUGCAUGGCUGUCGUCAGCUCGUGUCGUAAGAUGUGAGAUUAAGUUCUUCAACGAGCGCAACCCCCACCGUCCGUUGCCACCAGGUGAAGCUGGGCACUCAGACGGAACUGCCGGUGACAAACCGGAGGAAGGCGGGGAUGACGUCAAGUCAUCAUGGCCCUUACGUCCUGGGCCACACACGUGCUACAAUGGCCGGUACAGAGCGAAGCUAUGCCGAGAGGCGGAGCGAACCGCAAAAAGCCGGUCUCAGUACGGACUGGGGUCUGCAACUCGACCCCACGAAGUUGGAAUCGCUAGUAAUCGCGCAUCAGCAUGGCGCGGUGAAUACGUUCCCGGGCCUUGCACACACCGCCCGUCA
RNAcentral lists this ribosomal RNA (1389 nucleotides) under uncultured bacterium. Its description in RNAcentral is "bacterial SSU rRNA". It matches the Rfam family "Bacterial small subunit ribosomal RNA". The record is from RNAcentral.